UAAGGGUAGAGUUAAAAGCCAAAUCUGCCAUGUAGUAAGUAGUACAUGAAGCCAGGAGGAAGGAUCCAGGAUACAAACCAUGACAGAAUACACACACAUUUUGGAGAUGCAUGCUUUCUCAAAGCUCUGAGGACCAUCAUGAAGACAUAUUAACUGAAAGAAUAUGAAGCCAUGUGAAUAGGUCCUAACUAUUGGAGACUAUACAAGACGCAUGACACCAAACUGUGGUUGUCUUUUGGUGAAGAUCUCAGAAGUUUCCACUCAUGGCAAAAGGUAGGUAAAGAAGGAGCUAAUGAAGAAAAAGAAACAAGCUGUCAAGAGGUGGGAAGAGAACCAGGACAACACAGCAUCAUGUCAGACAAUAAAAUAGUGUAAUUUCAA
This is a long non-coding RNA of Pongo pygmaeus (Bornean orangutan), 381 nucleotides long. RefSeq lists it as uncharacterized. The record is from RefSeq and is a predicted model, not a curated record. The transcript is spliced from 3 exons. Lineage: Eukaryota; Metazoa; Chordata; Mammalia; Primates; Hominidae.